Arachis ipaensis is the source of this 1332-nucleotide long non-coding RNA. RefSeq lists it as uncharacterized. The record is from RefSeq and is a predicted model, not a curated record. NCBI's taxonomy places the organism in Eukaryota, Viridiplantae, Streptophyta, Magnoliopsida, Fabales, Fabaceae.
UCUUCGAACUCUUUGUAUUCACCCAAAAAAGAAAGGCCCUUUGAAAGAACUUUAAACUCUUCGAAAGAACCCCAGCACUCUACGACCCCAGUAAUCCAAAGAACAUCGCUGGCGCUUGCAAUGCCUCUGUCGGCGCUCCCUGUUCUGGCACUCGCACCAUCGCUACUCCCACCCUAAACCCCUAACCCUCCUUUGGUGGUGACUCUCUCUGGCGGUGACUCCCUUAACGCUCACUAUCGGUCACAAACCCUCCAUUGAUGCUCCCUCCGUUGCUGCUCCCUUCUGUCACUGCAAACCUCUAACCCCUUCCGCCGCCGCUCCCUUCCGUCGGAGCAUUGGAGAAGGUUUGUUGUUCAGGGCCGCUCCCUUCCAUUGUCAAGCUCGAGGGGGUUGCUAUCACAACCAGCGAAGAGGACGAAGAUGCCAUCCUCGAUCUAUAAUCCCUAACUCAUGCUUUUUCAGAAAACGAAGUUUUACCGAUUCGACAAGGAGGGGAACCGGUGGAAGGAGAGAACUGCAGGUACCGUCAAGUUCCCGAAGAACAUGGUUACUAGCAAGUUCUAAGCACUCCAAAUCAUUGAAAAAGUUAGUGACUCGUUAAUAGAGAGUGACAAUUUUAAUUCUCUCAAUGAGGAAGACAUUUCUGAAGCACUUGCUGUUGCGAGAGUAUUUCCAGUAGAAGUCAAAGGCCGGACGAACGGCCACGCAGACAAUGGUUGUUGGUGGUAGCUAAUAGGUUGCCUGUCUCAGCUGUUAGGGAGGGUGUAAAGGAGUAUGAAACUAGAUGGAUUGGGUGGGCCGGUGUGAAUGUAUCUGACGGCGUUGGGCAGAAAGCAUUAACUAAAGCUUUAGCUGAAAUGAUUCCAUACUUAUGAUUAUGCUAGACAUUUUGUAAGUGCUUGUAGUCGCAUUCUUGGGCUUGAAGGGACACCUGAAGGAAUAGAAGAUCAAGGAAAGCUAACUCGUGUGGCUGCGUUUCCUUUUGGGAUUGAUUCUGAUCGGUUUAUUCGAUUCCUUAAACUCCCUGAAGUCCAGGAGCACAUGAAAGAACUGAAAGAAAGAUUUUCAGGCAGAAAGGUAAUGUUGGGCGUUGAUCAUUUUGAUAUGAUAAAAGGAAUUCCACAGAAGAUAUUGGCAUUUGAAAAGUUCCUUGAGGAGAACUGACGCUAGCGUGAUAAAAUUGCCUUGUUGCGAAUUGCUGUACCAACUAGGACAGAUGUUCCUGAUUGUAUGUUUCAUCUUUAGGCAUGUUAGUUAUUACUUGAAUCAUAUUUAUCAAUUAAUUUAUAUUUUUACUCUUUAGAUACAUAUAUACAUGCAUUUUUGUUUUAA